CGAUUGAACGCUGGGCGGAAUGCUUUACACAUGCAAGUCGAACGGCAGCACGGGGCAACCUGGUGGCGAGUGGCGAACGGGUGAGUAAUACAUCGGAACGUCGCCCAAUCGGUGGGGGAUAACGUAGCGAAAGUUACGCUAAUACCGCAUACGAUCUACGGAUGAAAGCGGGGGAUCGCAAGACCUCGCGCGAAUGGAGCGGCCGAUGUCAGAUUAGGUAGUUGGUGGGGUAAAGGCUCACCAAGCCAACGAUCUGUAGCUGGUCUGAGAGGACGACCAGCCACACUGGAACUGAGACACGGUCCAGACUCCUACGGGAGGCAGCAGUGGGGAAUUUUGGACAAUGGGCGCAAGCCUGAUCCAGCCAUUCCGCGUGCAGGAUGAAGGCCUUCGGGUUGUAAACUGCUUUUGUACGGAACGAAACGGUCUGCCCUAAUACGGCGGGCUAAUGACGGUACCGUAAGAAUAAGCACCGGCUAACUACGUG
This 487-nucleotide ribosomal RNA is filed under the name uncultured bacterium. RNAcentral's name for it is "bacterial SSU rRNA". It matches the Rfam family "Bacterial small subunit ribosomal RNA", at positions 27 to 507 of the family's 1533-position model. The record is from RNAcentral.